AUCCCCUGGGCCUGCANUGACGCUCAUGNANGAAAGCGUGGGAGCAAACAGGAUUAGAUACCCNUGGAAGUCCACGCCCUAAACGAUGUCAACUGGUUGUUGGGUCUUGACUGACUCAGUAACGAAGCUAACGCGUGAAGUUGACCGCCUGGGGAGUACGNCCGCAAGGUUGAAACUCAAAGGAAUUGACGGGGACCCGCACAAGCGGUGGAUGAUGUGGUUUAAUUCGAUGCAACGCGAAAAACCUUACCCACCUUUGACAUGGCAGGAACUUACCAGAGAUGGUUUGGUGCUCGAAAGAGAACCUGCACACAGGUGCUGCAUGGCUGUCGUCAGCUCGUGUCGUGAGGUGUUGGGUUAAGUCCCGCAACGAGCGCAACCCUUGCCAUUAGUUGCUACAUUCAGUUGAGCACUCUAAUGGGACUGCCGGUGACAAACCGGAGGAAGGUGGGGAUGACGUCAAGUCCUCAUGGCCCUUAUAGGUGGGGCUACACACGUCAUACAAUGGCUGGUACAAAGGGUUGCCAACCCGCGAGGGGGAGCUAAUCCCAUAAAGCCAGUCGUAGUCCGGAUCGCAGUCUGCAACUCGACUGCGUGAAGUCGGAAUCGCUAGUAAUCGUGGAUCAGAAUGUCACGGUGAAUACGUUNCCCGGUC
RNAcentral lists this ribosomal RNA (655 nucleotides) under uncultured Comamonas sp. RNAcentral's name for it is "bacterial SSU rRNA". It matches the Rfam family "Bacterial small subunit ribosomal RNA", at positions 724 to 1380 of the family's 1533-position model. The record is from RNAcentral. Lineage: Bacteria; Pseudomonadati; Pseudomonadota; Betaproteobacteria; Burkholderiales; Comamonadaceae.